UGCGUAGGCGGCCUGACAAGUCAGAGGUGAAAGGCUACGGCUUAACCGUAGUAAGCCUUUGAAACCGACAGGCUUGAGUGCAGGAGAGGAAAGUGGAAUUCCUAGUGUAGCGGUGAAAUGCGUAGAUAUUAGGAGGAACACCAGUGGCGAAGGCGACUUUCUGGACUGUAACUGACGCUGAGGCACGAAAGCGUGGGGAGCGAACAGGAUUAGAUACCCUGGUAGUCC
Molecule: ribosomal RNA, 228 nt
Filed under: uncultured bacterium
Lineage: Bacteria
Description: partial 16S ribosomal RNA
Rfam family: Bacterial small subunit ribosomal RNA
Source: RNAcentral